This 429-nucleotide ribosomal RNA is filed under the name Pseudomonadota bacterium. Its description in RNAcentral is "Proteobacteria bacterium partial 16S ribosomal RNA". It matches the Rfam family "Bacterial small subunit ribosomal RNA", at positions 355 to 776 of the family's 1533-position model. Lineage: Bacteria; Pseudomonadati; Pseudomonadota. The record is from RNAcentral.
UGGGGAAUAUUGGACAAUGGGGGGAACCCUGAUCCAGCCAUGCCGCGUGUGUGAAGAAGGCCUUAUGGUUGUAAAGCACUUUAAGUUGGGAGGAAGGGCAGUAAGCGAAUACCUUGCUGUUUUGACGUUACCGACAGAAUAAGCACCGGCUAACUCUGUGCCAGCAGCCGCGGUAAUACAGAGGGUGCAAGCGUUAAUCGGAAUUACUGGGCGUAAAGCACGCGUAGGUGGUUCGUUAAGUUGAAUGUGAAAGCCCCGGGCUCAACCUGGGAACUGCAUCCAAAACUGGCGAGCUAGAGUAGGGCAGAGGGUGGUGGAAUUUCCUGUGUAGCGGUGAAAUGCGUAGAUAUAGGAAGGAACACCAGUGGCGAAGGCGACCACCUGGGCUCAUACUGACACUGAGGUGCGAAAGCGUGGGGAGCAAACAGG